GCAGAAUUGGCUGCGAGAUAGAGGGGAGAAAGGAAUGAUGAAGCCGGUGUUCACCUCUCAAGAAAAAGGCACUGGUGUAUUGGCAAUGUUAGACUGCUCAAAAUUAAAGAUGCAGUUUUAUGUUUCCUUACUUGUUUUGCCUGUCAGAUGUGCUGUGGGAUGCCCAGGCUGCACAGAGCAUAAGGAGUGUGCUGCAACCACGGUCCAAGUGCUGGUGCUUGCUCAUGAUCAGAGUUGGGGAGCAGAGCAGGCUGGGCAAGUGACACUUGCUCUUGCCAGUAUCAAGCCUGUUUGCUUGCAUACCUGGCUUUUCAAGAGGCUGCAGCCCUGAGGAACAAGGCUAAAACCUGCCUGCAAAUAGCUCAUGGUGCAAGGGAGGACUUGGGCAUGGCUCUGAGGGGUGACACACUCUCAAGUAACACACCAGCGAGGCAGAGGGUAGCUCUAGCGAAUUCCCCCUCUCCCAGCUUUCCCUUUGGAGUGUUGGGAUGUUUGGUUUUCACUUUGCUGUGGGAUGCAGCUGCCUGGGGUAGGGCUGUGCUGUGUGAGGUGCUUUACACAUCCCUGCCCUGGGCAGGGUGUUGCAGGUGAAAGCCGGACAUGCAAGUAACAGGAGUAGAGUGAAUGUGAUCUCCAUUAUGUGUUUUCCAGGAAUACCCAUGAGUCCUCUUGGACCAGGCUCCUUCAUUGUCCAAGACACUGUUCAAAUACAUCCUGUUUUCCUGAGUUUACGAUCUAACCCCCAAAUUCUUGAAAUGUUCAACUCUAGGCAGCAAUAAUCUGCACCUUCUUAGCCAGAGGUAUGUUGGGGACCACCCCAAGGUGCUGCUGGAACAGUGGGGAGGCCAUUCUGAGCUGCUGCCUGGCAUGGCUAAUGCAGGCACAUCCCUCCCUGCCAAAGGCCAGCAGCUGUCAGAGCAAGCUGAAGAAAUGGCUAACUGUGUGAGUGAGAAUUCCUAAAGUGAAACACUUUCUCCCAUGCAGAGUGCAGCAAGGCCUCUCAUCACUUCUCCCACCCAGCAUUAAUUAAGCAUAUGGCAGGGGCAGAGAUCUUGACUGUCCUGGGAGCCUUGGACUAGUUGUGGCCAGUAAUCAUGUGGCUCUUCUGUGCUGGCAAAGGAUAAACUACACAGAAGCUCCUACAUAAAUCUUGGCUCUGAAUGAGGAAGAAAAUACUGGUUUAUAAUUAUCUUCAAAUUUGUUGCUGAAAAGACCAGGCAGGGUUGGGAGGAUGAACACUGCAGGACUAUGAGACAGUAAGGCACUGGGGUCACUUCCUUUCCCUGGUUGCACAUUUGACCCUGCACUUGACCCAUUACAUGGAGCCUAGGGCCUGGCCUGGAUUUGAAACUUGUUGUUUUAAAGAACAGGAAGGAGAAAAAAAAUCUGGGUUUUAUGGUCGUGGUUUUGGAAAGCCCUGUUUUUUUCUGUGCAUUUUUCCAGUGCUGACUGAGAGGAGGCUUGGUGAGCAGGUACAGACCUGGAAAUCAGGCUGCUUGCUCUGCAGUGUGGCGUUGCUGCCAGUUUCCCACAAGGGCUUGCACAAACCCAGCAAGUUUGCAUGUGUGUUGUUUUUUUAAAAAAAAGCAGAAAAGUAAGUUGCUUCUGUCAGGGUGGCUUCGCAAGGCUGAAAGCAUUGCACCAUUUUGAGAGUGAAGGCAGUACUUUGCCUCUCACUCCUGUACUCAGUUACUGUUUCUCACAGAAGGCAGUCUGCAGUGGGGGGUGAGCAGAGUAUGUGCCAGCUGUGCAGCAGCAGCACAGCUACUCUGUUGCCUGUAGCAUUUUUAUUUCUGUUGAUGUGAGAGCUGGAAGGGAUCGGGUGUGAUUUUCAGGUGCUGGGCUAUGUUUGCAGGUCUGCCUGUUACAAGGGCUGGGUUCAUCUGCCCGGACACAACGGGCAGAGGAAAUGUAAGACAAAUCUAUAAGGCUUUUCCCUCAGCUAUCCCACACAAAGAUGUGGUGUUUGCAAUUUAUGAACUGGACAUUGCUUCAAGUGCAUUCUAUUGAAUUGUAUCCUGAAAAACAAAUUCCAGGUUUGGAGCUGCUGGAGCUUUGGGACUGGUCUGGCCAGAGCUAUGCAAGUGCAAGGGACUAGUUUGAGAGUCAUCACGGAUUCUCCUAAGGCAAACCUGUCUGUUGGUGUAAUGUCAGUGCAACCAGAUGAAUCACAGCCCAAGUUUUUAUCCUGAGAACUACUAGCUCAGCUUUUUUUCCCCAUCAGCUCAUAAUUUUACAAGAUGAAAUCCCACCGUGUUAAUAUGUAGUAUAGAAUCAAUCAGUUGGUUGUUAAGACUCAUUUGGAGUUGGUGAUUUGGACAAUUGGUUUUGGGUGAGCUGCCAGUGUAUGUUUGCUGUGUUGCCAUUCAAUGUCAACCCUCCCGUUGCAUUCUGUAAGAGCUUCCAUUAAUUUCAGUAGAAAUCUGCAUUUGGGGUGAAGGGUGACCUAAUCUUUAGAAAGGAUCUUAAUCCACUUAGCCUUUCUUGCAAAGCUCAGCGUUUUUUCCUUGUCAGGAGCAGACUGCAUUCCUAACCUUGAUGUGUCACUUUCCAGUUGGCUUAAUAUUUGGGUGAGGAUAAAAAGGAAAUGUUGUUCAAAGAUUAAAAGAACCCAUGCUGCUAAGGUAUGUGCACGUGUGAUAUGCAAGUAUAAAAAAAAAGAAGAUAUGAGCAUAAUUGUGUUUGGGUGGUGGAAACAAGAUAUAAUAACAUCAGCAGAUGACUAUGGAAAACAAGUACAGGAAGAGGUAAAUCCAUCUGAAACAGUGUAAAUGGGAAAUUAUGAGGGAAGAGGAAAUGGGGCUGAAAUGUUGUUUAAUGUAAAUUUAAGUGCAAGACAAAAAUAGGACUCUUGUAAGUUUGACCUGUAAACGUCUCUUCCCAGGGGCCUGAGGGCAGCCAGGAAAAAUACAGUCUCUGAUACAAAUACAAGACCUAGUGCCCAUGCCUUGUGUUUGUUCUCACACAGUAUGGAUGAGGAGUUCAUUCCCUGUUUCACAGGUGGACUUGUUUAGCACGUGUAUAGGCAUACACCUGCUCAACAGGCAGGGAACAAAGUACUUUGCAGGUGGACUGAUUAGAGAGAUACAUGCUGCCUCACUGGGAAUAGCACCCUCUCAGGAGACAGAUGUUCCUACCUUUCUGUUGCACUAGUCUGAUUUGGAGAUCCGUGUAUGAGACAGGUAAGUAAACGGAUAUCUUUCAGAAAUGAGAGUAUAGUAAAAAGUAUCAUUUUUUAGGGAUGCUAUGUAUAAGGGUAUUGCCAAAUGCCUGCUGUUGAGCCACUGGUACUGAAGGCCUUGUCAAGAAGUCACAUGUGAUGGUAGCAGCUCCUCCAGUGGUUACUGCUGUUUCCUUCAUUUAGAGAGUCCUUUCUGCACCCCAGGAUAAAUCCCCAAGGACUGGUUAGCAAUAGCAUAGUUGUUACCUAACAAUAACUUUGGGGAAUCUGAAUUAUCCCUGCAGAUUGGAUUCCAUCCAGAAGCUUAGAUCUGGUUGCCCUUGGGGUAUCCUGAUGUGCCUUCAUGGUGGGUUUCCACUGAGAGCCAUCUCAGGCGAUGGAUGUGCAGAUCUAUCAUAGGUGUGCUGGAACUAAAGCAGAUGGAUAUCCCUGGGAAAGUCAAUGGACUGUGCAGGGUAAUCAAGAACCUCAUCUGAGUAGAACUGAAGAAUACUGAGAUUAAUGUUAAGAAACCUGAAGGGCAAGAAUCAGAACAAUGCCUUCACCUCCUUUUUAAAAAAUUUGAAGAAAGCUUUCAAGUUACAAUAUAUUUUGGACUUCUUUUUCCAAUGAAAAUGAGGCUUAUGUGAUCA
This is a long non-coding RNA of Pseudopipra pipra, 3813 nucleotides long. RefSeq lists it as uncharacterized. NCBI's taxonomy places the organism in Eukaryota, Metazoa, Chordata, Aves, Passeriformes, Pipridae. The transcript is spliced from 3 exons. The record is from RefSeq and is a predicted model, not a curated record.